This 469-nucleotide ribosomal RNA is filed under the name uncultured bacterium. Its description in RNAcentral is "bacterial SSU rRNA". It matches the Rfam family "Bacterial small subunit ribosomal RNA", at positions 34 to 498 of the family's 1533-position model. The record is from RNAcentral.
CGCUGGCGGCAUGCUUUACACAUGCAAGUCGAACGGUAACAGGGAGCUUGCUCCGCUGACGAGUGGCGAACGGGUGAGUAAUAUAUCGGAACGUACCCAAGAGUGGGGGAUAACGUAGCGAAAGUUACGCUAAUACCGCAUACGAUCCAAGGAUGAAAGCAGGGGACCGCAAGGCCUUGUGCUCCUGGAGCGGCCGAUAUCUGAUUAGCUAGUUGGUAGGGUAAAGGCCUACCAAGGCAUCGAUCAGUAGCUGGUCUGAGAGGACGACCAGCCACACUGGAACUGAGACACGGUCCAGACUCCUACGGGAGGCAGCAGUGGGGAAUUUUGGACAAUGGGCGCAAGCCUGAUCCAGCAAUGCCGCGUGAGUGAAGAAGGCCUUCGGGUUGUAAAGCUCUUUUGUCAGGGAAGAAACGGGUGCGGCUAAUAUCUGCAUCUAAUGACGGUACCUGAAGAAUAAGCACCGGCU